Molecule: ribosomal RNA, 423 nt
Filed under: uncultured bacterium
Lineage: Bacteria
Description: bacterial SSU rRNA
Rfam family: Bacterial small subunit ribosomal RNA
Source: RNAcentral
AAGACCUUGCGCUUUUGGAGCGGCCGAUGUCUGAUUAGCUUGUUGGUGAGGUAAAGGCUUACCAAGGCUUCGAUCAGUAGCUGGUCUGAGAGGACGGCCAGCCACACUGGGACUGAGACACGGCCCAGACUCCUACGGGAGGCAGCAGUGGGGAAUUUUGGACAAUGGGGGCAACCCUGAUCCAGCCAUGCCGCGUGAGUGAAGAAGGCCUUCGGGUUGUAAAGCUCUUUCAGCCGGAACGAAACGGUUACGGUUAAAACCCGUGACUACUGACGGUACCGGAAGAAGAAGCACCGGCUAACUACGUGCCAGCAGCCGCGGUAAUACGUAGGGUGCAAGCGUUAAUCGGAAUUACUGGGCGUAAAGCGUGCGCAGGUGGUUUUGUAAGUCAGAUGUGAAAUCCCCGGGCUUAACCUGGGAACU